RNAcentral lists this ribosomal RNA (377 nucleotides) under uncultured bacterium. RNAcentral describes it as "bacterial SSU rRNA". It matches the Rfam family "Bacterial small subunit ribosomal RNA", at positions 790 to 1167 of the family's 1533-position model. The record is from RNAcentral.
GUAGUCCUUGCUGUAAACGAUGUAUACUUGGUGUAACUGGAAUCAACCCUAGUUGUGCCGGAGCUAACGCGUUAAGUAUACCGCCUGGGGAGUACAGUCGCAAGGCUGAAACUCAAAAGAAUUGACGGGGACCCGCACAAGCAGUGGAGCAUGUGGUUUAAUUCGAUGCAACGCGAAGAACCUUACCCAGGCUUGACAUGCAGUAGACCGGCUCAGAGAUGAGCCUUUCCUUCGGGACUGCUGCACAGGUGCUGCAUGGCUGUCGUCAGCUCGUGCCGUGAGGUGUUGGGUUAAGUCCCGCAACGAGCGCAACCCUUAUCAUUAGUUGCCAACAUUUAAGGUGGGAACUCUAAUGAGACUGCCUGGGUUAACCAGGA